This 269-nucleotide ribosomal RNA is filed under the name uncultured bacterium. RNAcentral's name for it is "partial small subunit ribosomal RNA". It matches the Rfam family "Bacterial small subunit ribosomal RNA", at positions 26 to 284 of the family's 1533-position model. The record is from RNAcentral.
AGAGCGAACGCUGGCGGCGUGCUUAACACAUGCAAGUCGAACGCGCAGCAUUCUGUAGCAAUACAGGGUGUGGGCGCGUGGCGAACGGGUGCGUAACACGUGGAUAACCUUCCUUCAGGUGGGGAAUAACCCAGUGAAAAUUGGGCUAAUACCGCAUAACAAAACGAUGAGACAUCUUGUUGUUUUCAAAGGCGCAAGUCGCCAGAAGAGGGAUCCGCGGCCGAUUAGUUAGUUGGCGGGGUAAUGGCCCACCGAAGACGAUGAUCGGU